RNAcentral lists this long non-coding RNA (1090 nucleotides) under Homo sapiens (human). RNAcentral's name for it is "PPP1R3B divergent transcript, transcript variant 10 (PPP1R3B-DT)". Lineage: Eukaryota; Metazoa; Chordata; Mammalia; Primates; Hominidae. The record is from RNAcentral.
AGCGCGCCCGGAGUGAUCCGGCUGCGGGCCAGGGUCUGGGAAGGGGGUGGUGGGUCGCCGUUUCAUCAGAAGCCGGAGGACGGGCGCCAGGGGGCAACUUCCUACAGGAGGGCGUCCCGUUAGAAUGACAGGGCUUUUGCAAAAGUCUGACACCCGUGGCACAGAGCGCCCCAGAUAUGGAGGGUUUCACAGUUGACUCUUGAACAAUGUGGGGGCUUGGGGCACCAACCCCCUGUGCAGUUGAAAAUCGACAUAUAACUUUGACUCGCCAAAAACUUCACUACAAUAGCCUGCUGCCAACCUGAAGUCUUACCAAUAACAUCAACAGUCAAUUAAACAUAUUACUAGGCUGAAAAGGAGAAGGAAGUGAAGGGGUUGGUCUUGCCGUCUCACGAGUGGCAGAGGCAGGAGAAAAUCCAAAUAGUAUAGAUGUUCUUCAGGCUGGAUGCAUAUUGCCAGAUUUGAAUACUAACCUUUUAGGAAGGUCUGGGAUGUUUCUCUUGCAUGCCUCUGGAAUCAAAUGACUCUGAUACUGCAAGCACUUCAGAGUAUGUAUAAGCAAUUUCAGCUGGUUCCGUCCUGAUAUUUACAAAACUGCCUGGAUCAUACUUACAACCAUGCAAUGAUAUAUAUUUCUAUUAAGAAAGCAACGAUUUGCUUGAAAGAUGAAGGAAAACAAACUAAGUAUUUAUGUACAAUGAGUCCUAAGUGUACACCACUAUGUUUUCCAUCAGCUUUUGAUUUUCUGUCACUCCUCUUUUUCUUUGAAAUUUAGAGUCAGAAGUGAACUGACUUCAUGGUUUUCCUCAUGAUUAUUUGAUAUCCUCUAGGGAAUCAUGACUUAAAGACUGCAUUCUUCCUUCUCAAAACUCAUGUUAAAGAUUUCUCCAUGCAGAGCCACAGGCUAUUUUGGAGUUUGAAAUGGAGCAGUUAAAACUAGGAGGUCACACACGUUGAGAUUAUUCCUUCACUGCAUCUCGCCCGGCUUGUGUGCCUGAGGAGACACGCAUCUCAGAGGGCAGAGGGGCAGCCGUUGUCUAGUGAGGUUAUUUCACCUACUAUAUAAUAAAAUGUACAGGACAAUAGCGCA